RNAcentral lists this ribosomal RNA (245 nucleotides) under uncultured bacterium. Its description in RNAcentral is "partial 16S ribosomal RNA". It matches the Rfam family "Bacterial small subunit ribosomal RNA", at positions 528 to 772 of the family's 1533-position model. The record is from RNAcentral.
UAGGGGGCGAGCGUUAUCCGGAAUUAUUGGGUGUAAAGGGUGCGUAGACGGGAAAUUAAGUUAGUUGUGAAAACCCCAGGCUCAACUUGGGACGUGCAACUAAAACUGAUAUUCUUGAGUACUGGAGAGGAAAGUGGAAUUCCUAGUGUAGCGGUGAAAUGCGUAGAUAUUAGGAGGAACACCAGUGGCGAAGGCGACUUUCUGGACAGAAACUGACGUUGAGGCACGAAAGUGUGGGGAGCAAA